RNAcentral lists this ribosomal RNA (253 nucleotides) under uncultured bacterium. RNAcentral's name for it is "partial 16S ribosomal RNA". It matches the Rfam family "Bacterial small subunit ribosomal RNA", at positions 524 to 776 of the family's 1533-position model. The record is from RNAcentral.
UACGAGGGGAGCAAGCGUUGUUCGGAUUUACUGGGCGUAAAGGGCGCGUAGGCGGCGUGACUAGUCACUUGUGAAAUCUCCGGGCUUAACUCGGAACGGUCAAGUGAUACUGUCGUGCUAGAGUACAGAAGGGGCAACUGGAAUUCUCGGUGUAGCGGUGAAAUGCGUAGAUAUCGAGAGGAACACCUGCGGCGAAGGCGGGUUGCUGGGCUGAUACUGGCGCUGAUGCGCGAAAGCCAGGGGAGCGAACGGG